CAGCAGCCGCGGUAAUUCGUAGGGUGCGAGCGUUAAUCGGAAUUACUGGGCGUAAAGCGUGCGCAGGCGGUUUUGUAAGACAGGCGUGAAAUCCCCGGGCUUAACCUGGGAAUUGCGCUUGUGACUGCAAGGCUAGAGUGCGUCAGAGGGGGGUAGAAUUCCACGUGUAGCAGUGAAAUGCGUAGAGAUGUGGAGGAAUACCGAUGGCGAAGGCAGCCCCCUGGGACGUGACUGACGCUCAUGCACGAAAGCGUGGGGAGCAAACAGGAUUAGAUACCCUGGUAGUCCACGCCCUAAACGAUGUCAACUAGUUGUUGGGGAUUCAUUUCCUCAGUAACGUAGCUAACGCGUGAAGUUGACCGCCUGGGGAGUACGGUCGCAAGAUUAAAACUCAAAUGAAUUG
This 403-nucleotide ribosomal RNA is filed under the name uncultured soil bacterium. RNAcentral describes it as "bacterial SSU rRNA". It matches the Rfam family "Bacterial small subunit ribosomal RNA", at positions 509 to 912 of the family's 1533-position model. The record is from RNAcentral.